This 31-nucleotide ribosomal RNA is filed under the name Ectophoma multirostrata. RNAcentral's name for it is "partial 28S ribosomal RNA". The record is from RNAcentral. Lineage: Eukaryota; Fungi; Ascomycota; Dothideomycetes; Pleosporales; Didymellaceae.
GACCUCGGAUCAGGUAGGAUGCAGUGACCCU